This 468-nucleotide ribosomal RNA is filed under the name uncultured bacterium. Its description in RNAcentral is "partial 16S ribosomal RNA". It matches the Rfam family "Bacterial small subunit ribosomal RNA", at positions 28 to 507 of the family's 1533-position model. The record is from RNAcentral.
GACGAACGCUGGCGGCGUGCUUAACACAUGCAAGUCGAACGGAAAGGCCCUGCUUUUGUGGGGUGCUCGAGUGGCGAACGGGUGAGUAACACGUGAGUAACCUGCCCUUGACUUUGGGAUAACUUCAGGAAACUGGGGCUAAUACAGGAGAGGAGCUCCUGCUGCAGGGUGGGGGUUGGAAAGUUUCGGCGGAUGGGGAUGGACUCGCGGCUUAUCAGCUUGUUGGUGGGGUAGUGGCUUACCAAGGCAUUGACGGGUAGCCGGCCUGGGAGGGUGACCGGCCACAUUGGGACUGAGAUACGGCCCAGACUCCUACGGGAGGCAGCAGUGGGGAAUAUUGCACAAUGGGCGGAAGCCUGAUGCAGCAACGCCGCGUGCGGGAUGACGGCCUUCGGGUUGUAAACCGCUUUCGCCUGUGACGAAGCGUGAGUGACGGUAAUGAGUAAAGAAGCACCGGCUAACUACGUG